ACACUGGCUGUUGUCAGCGGCCUCUGAGGUUUCAGGCUCUUGGCGGUGAAGGUCAGAGUGCAGACCUGAGACCACUGCUCACCGACUUCAGACUCCAGUUUAUCUGUGCCCCAGCUUCCUCACUUAGUCUCAGAAGACUUAGGCUGAGGCCUCAGAAGGAGGUGAGUUCCCUGGGUCACAGGCAGAGAUCUGGUGCUAUAGUGAUGGCCUCAACUGGGGCGUGUUUGUCUCUGAAUCCCUUGGUCCUGCGGCCUUGGACACAAGAGAGGUACGCUGAGCUGAGGCGAGUUGGAGGAGAAGCCUCAGCCCAGAGCCCAGACCCAGAUCCUCAGGGCAGAGAAAGGAGGCUCACAGGAUAGCAGGUCCUAGAAGAGCUGGACCCAUAGUGGCCUUUGUCCCUCACUUCAGCUGAGACAAAGCAAAGCUGGCUCAACUUCCAGAUGCCAUCGAGGACCGUGUGACAGUGCAGUUUGAUUCCUGCUGGAGGAGGGACAGGUGAAAGUCACAGGUGGAUGGAGG
This 519-nucleotide long non-coding RNA is filed under the name Homo sapiens (human). RNAcentral's name for it is "non-protein coding lnc-CHST7-5:1". The record is from RNAcentral. Lineage: Eukaryota; Metazoa; Chordata; Mammalia; Primates; Hominidae.